AUACAGAGGGUGCGAGCGUUGUUCGGAAUUAUUGGGCGUAAAGCGCGCGCAGGCGGGAUUGCAAGUCGGAUGUGAAAGCCCUCGGCUCAACCGAGGAAGUGCGUUCGAAACUGCAGUUCUUGAGUGUCGGAGAGGGUGGCGGAAUUCCCGGUGUAGAGGUGAAAUUCGUAGAUAUCGGGAGGAACACCAGAGGCGAAGGCGGCCACCUGGACGAACACUGACGCUGAGGCGCGAAAGCGUGGGGAGCAAACAGGAUUAGAUACCCUGGUAGUCCACGCCGUAAACGACGAGAGCUAGCUGUUGCGGGUGUUGACCCCUGCAGUGGCGCAGCCAACGCAUUAAGCUCUCCGCCUGGGAAGUACGGCCGCAAGGCUAAA
RNAcentral lists this ribosomal RNA (377 nucleotides) under uncultured bacterium. RNAcentral's name for it is "bacterial SSU rRNA". It matches the Rfam family "Bacterial small subunit ribosomal RNA", at positions 523 to 898 of the family's 1533-position model. The record is from RNAcentral.